RNAcentral lists this long non-coding RNA (1536 nucleotides) under Homo sapiens (human). RNAcentral describes it as "non-protein coding lnc-ZC3H12C-1:3". Lineage: Eukaryota; Metazoa; Chordata; Mammalia; Primates; Hominidae. The record is from RNAcentral.
ACUUCUGUUUCUGAACCAGAGUGGGUUCUCAGAGUCUUGGCUUUCUUUCUGCAGCCUGUCUGCCUCCUAAGCAGCUGAGAUUGUUUCCCCACUACAGAUGAGUGAUAAGCUGACUGCACCCUCACGGAUAAUUCUAUCAAGGCCACCAGGAUGCAUCACAGUCCUGACCCCAAUGCAGGAGACUGAAAGUCACCAAGGACUGAGACAUGCUGUCGAGCCACAAUCAGAAGAGAAACUGGAGUUGAAGAAGAGCCAGGUCUGGCCACACAGAGAAGUGAAAACCUCCAUUUAAUGGUCAGAGGCAAAGUACAAAGUUAGGCAUCAGAGAAGUGUUCCGUUUUGGUCACUAUUAUUUCUUAAGAAUCUUUCUGAACACUCCAGAACUAAAGGACUAGAAGUCCAGGGCCCUUGCUCUCAGUGUCUGAUUAGCUGCUGUCAUCUGCCUCGAAAGCUGCCCCAUGGUUUUUUCCAUCCUUGCUAGCAGCACAAACCAACUGGUUUAGCCUAACAUUGAUAAAACUACAGAAUCUCAGAUUUGGAAGGAUGCUUUUAAAGCAAAUAGCCAAGCUCCUAGCUAAUUUUCUAAUUUUGUUGCUACAAGAAUAAAGAAUUUAAUGUGGGUGUGGAGGGAGAGUUAUUUGAGUCCAUUUUUCUUCUGGUCUUUCCCCUUUUCCAAGUAUAUAGGCAAUCCUGCACUCAUUGCCUCAGGGAGGGGAGGCAAUUAGUCAGAAGAUAUAAAUAGCCAAUUGGCACUUUUUGUCUCUGUGUUUUAAAAGAGGGAACUUAGAAUUUUGGGGAUGAUGUCAAGAUCAAAUGUGUGGGAGAAACAGAGGUCAAAGAGCAUUGACUUCCUCCACCCACCACCUAGAAUAGGAUUCUCUGAGGUCUGAGGCAUGGAGAGUGAAGAGCAGAUAAUGAUGAGAACAGACAGAAUGAGGGGUUCAAGAGCCAGGUUCCCUUCUUUCUGGGCAGUAGGUAGCAAUACCCCAAAGCAGGAGGUAGCAAUACCCCAAAGAGGAGAUGGCUUCGUGCAGGGUCUAGGCACACCAGUUCAUUGCCUCUUAAAGAUUUCUGGUGUGAACCUGGGAGGCGAAGCUUGCAGUGAGCCGAGAUCGCGACGCUGCACUCCUGCCUGGGCGACAGAGCAAGACUCCGGCUCAAAAACAAACAAACAAACAAACAAACAAAAACCAAACAAGAUUUCUGGCCCUCAAGCUAUGCAGCAAAAUAUCUCUGUGAGCCUCCAGUUCUAAAAGGCCAUGCUGCAAGCCAAAUACUCUCUCAGGGUAACUCAAUGGGAACAGAUGGCUCAGGGACCAGAAGGCUCACCCUCCCUCAAUGUACUGCUAAAGGCACUAAGUAAAUCCCAACAGGGUCUUUGUCUCAACCCCCGGGAAGAAGAGAGAAACCAAUAAUAAUCGGAGAGUGUUACCCUUAGCCUGCUAGUACAAAGAUAAAACAUCAAAUUGAGUUAGAGGAAAUGUUAUUUUUCUAGAUCAAUGCAGUCUAUGGACUGAGAUUCAUAGAUCUACUAUA